Molecule: long non-coding RNA, 1383 nt
Organism: Arachis stenosperma
Lineage: Eukaryota; Viridiplantae; Streptophyta; Magnoliopsida; Fabales; Fabaceae
Exons: 4
Source: RefSeq, a predicted model, not a curated record
UUCCCUUCCUGAACCAGCAGCAGCAGCUGCUGCCCUCUAACCAAAACAGUAAACACACACACGACCGUAGCCUUCCCCAAUUCAACCAGCAGCAACAGCUGCGAAAAUGAAAGGAAGAAAGAAAUAGAGAGGGAAGGGAGAAACAGAUGCGUGGAGGAGAAGAAGGGGAGGAGGGGAGGAAAGAGAUUGCGCCGCGCGCUGGGCUUCUCCGCCAUCGCGCCCCGCCGUGACCCACACCUCGUCGCCAUUCGCGCCGCCGACUAGCUUGCCGCCGCCUCUGUUCGUCACACCAUCACUCCUAGCCGCACCGUCGCCGAGGAGUCGUCGCUGUCGAUGGAGCCUAGAGGAGACAAACUGUGCGACAGUGAGGGAGGAGAACGCGGGCCAGUGACGCGAGGAGCACGACCCGUUGCGCCGCCAUGUGCUAACGCCGUCGUCCUCACCGUGCCGCCAUCACCCUUGCCACCGAGACAGUCACCGUUAUUUAUGGUAGAGCAGAGAGGGGGAGCUCGGGAACAGAGCAGAUGCGAGAGAUUUGGGGCUGAGCUGGGAGUCCCGCCACCGCGCCCGGCCGUGCUUGCGUCGCCGGCGCCGCCUCCGUUGGAACCGUCGUGCUGCGCAAAGCUAACUCUUCCUCCACCAUUAGAACCAUUAUUGAUUCGGUGAGCCUUUCCCUGUUUUUGGUUCUGUUACAGCCAUUCCUGGAGGAGAAAUCAGUCGUGCCGCCGUGCCUGGCCGUCGGAAAACACCACUAUCGUCACUGGAAAAACACUGCCGUAGUCAUCUGAGUCGCUUGGAGGGAGGAAGAGCCAUUGGGUGUUGCCGCACCUUGCCUCUACCGCCAAAAAUGGUCGUUGAGUCCUCGGUAUCGGGUCAUGUAUCCAUGCUUGCUUUUCGUGAUCAGAGUUCGCAGCUGCCUUGCUUUGUCAUUUCAGUAAAGCUGUUUAUGCUGCUGCGAAAAUGUGUGGGGCUGUGCUUAGGAACUGCCGUUGGUUUUGAGUCGAGGCGAAUAGAUUUCUGAGAGGCGUUUGGAGUAUAGUUUCAAUUUGUCGAGGAUUUGGGCACAGAAGUUAUGAAGAGUUUAAUUAUUGGUUAUUGAGAUGCUCUGUAUUGCUUUAGAUUAUUAUUUUUGUACCCUCGCCCUUAUCUUGAUAUAUUAUGUGAGAGGGAUAGGAAUUGUACUGGAUAAUAUUUGUAAUAUUAUUUAUAUAUAUGUAUGUAUAUAUAUAUGGAUGUACUCUUUAUAUUUUUUUGUAAGUUGUAUGGUAUGUAUGGACGUACGUUGUAUGGUGAAAGUAUUUUUGGGAAUGGUAUUGCGGUUUAAAGUUUUUAAACAGGCUCAUAUUUUAGUAUUAAAUAGUAUAAGUGUCGUCGUAAUGUCCG